GUGUAUAGUUAAAAAAAAAUUACUUAAAAUAUUAAAAAAUUUGAGUGAAAAAAAAAAACAAUAGAAAAAAAAAAAAUUCUGGAAACCAAAACCAAGUAGAGCGAAUUACAUUGUUUAUUUUACGCUUGCACAUUUCGGCUGACGCGCGUAGACUUGUACAUCCUUUCGCUGGUUUUGGGAAAGGUUGUUUUCAGAUCUGUGAAUCUACUUCCAUCUCUCUCUCUCUCUCUCUCUCUCCCCCUGUGGGACUGAAUUUGGUUGCAUCUCUCUGGUCUCUUGGAAUUUUGGGCAAAUUGAAAAUGGAGAACCCCGAGCAUCAAAGUUGAGUUCAAUCAACUCUCUCAGUCCGUUUUACAUAGCUAAUCUUGGAUUCUAAUUGUAAUUAUUAAUUUUAUUGGAGAAAAACAAUUUCCAUAACUCCAGAGAGUUGGAUUGAUGGUGGAUCAAAUUGUGGGUAGCAAAGGUGGAUUGCCAAAGGAAAUAGCAGAGCUGGUUGUGCUUUGGUGGAGAUGGACGUUGAGUGUGGUGGUGUAGUUGACAGAAUGAAGAGAAAAAAAAAGAAGAAAGAGAAAGGUGGUAGAUGAGAGAAGGAUGAAGAGUAAUUUUGGAUAAGUGAUGUGUGAGUCGUGCAAAAAAAGGCAAUGAAACAUUGCUACGAGUGCCAUAUAGUUUAACAUCCUUAUCAGACGAUGGAUGGAUUGUUUAAAUUGUACUCAUUUUAAAAAUUUAGAGUUUAUGCUGUAAUAAUUAAGUAGGCAGGGUUUAAAUCAUUACAAUGAUCAAACUUUUUUUUUUUUUUUUUUUGCAAUUUACCAUUUUUGGAUAAAUAUUUAAAACAUUUUCUCAUCUACGUAUGGCCUUCCUUCUAUUUAUCCUCUUUUUUUUUCAAUCAUUUUUUUUCGUCUCUCUAACUAUCGAUGCCUUGAAUGGCACUAAAUACCACUAUUAUUUGUUCCUCCUCUGCCACACAUUACCCCCUCCACCACAUUUCCACCUCCAUUUCACCAUAGCAAUGACAUACUACCAUAUAUGACCACUGCAGUGCCAUACCAAGCAUGUCACCACCGGUCCACCGUCUCAUGGCUACCGGCUACCACACCACUCUAGUGCACUAGUUACUUCUGGGGGAUGAUGCGUAUGCAAAAGUACUAUGCCCAGGACAGGGAGCUGGCAGCUGAUUCUUAUGAUGAAUUCCACAAAUUUUUUUGGGUUUUCAUUACAUUGUUGGGUAGCAUCCUCUAAACAACGUAUCAACCAUUUGAAACACAUUAUCCAAAGGCUGUAGCAUUCGUUGUCACUAUUGUGAUCUAUUUUUCAUCAUUGUUGGCUGAAUUUGUACUCUGAACCAACGGCAGAGAUCAUGUGAUAGUGAACAAAUUAAGUUUGUUCUCGGGUGUACUUGCUGUUAUUUUGCCAAUUUGAUCAUUGUCCCAGGCAUUGGGUAGCUGGCGUUGGGCAUAUGGGUUUGUGCUUUUUGAAUUGUUGUAAAUCGCUUCUUUGAUGAGAUUAGAGAUGACCCAUAUGCUCAAAGCGAACUACCCAAUGGCUGGGACAAUGAUCAAUAUUGGUAAAAUAACAGCAAGUACACCCGAGAACAAACUUAAUUUGUUCAUUUUGUCCAAAUUGUUGCAGAAUUUAGAAGUGUAAUGAAUAAAUUGAGGAAUGACAAUGCAAAUGAAAGUCGGGAUGAGCCUCUUCGAUUGCCUGUGUAAGUCAGCAUCAACAUAUUUGCGGAAUUUAGAAGCGUAAUGGAUAAAUUGCGGCAUGGCAAUGCUGGAUGAAAGUCAGCAUGAGCAUCACUGGUUGCCUGUGUAAUUUUUGUUCAUGUUGAACCAAGAUUGGGUGUUUGGGGUUAAAUAUUUUAUAGAAUGUUAUUAAGGUCCACUGUGUUCGUAAGAAAUAGCUCCGUGGGUUACUUUGUCAUGUAUGUUGUACUUUUUUAGAGAUAGUGAUAUCAAGUUCCACAGUGUUUGUAAGAAAUAACUCCCCGGGGUAGUUUGUUAUGUAUGUCGUACUCUACUUGUUUUUCUGUUGAAGCAAGGUUCGGUGUUUGGACUUCAAUUUCUUAGCGAUACUGUUAUUAAGUUCCACUGCGUUUAUAAGAAAUAGCUCCCCGGGAUACUUUGUUAUGUAUGUUGUACUCCUUUUUCUGCUGAACAAAGGUUGGGUGUUUAAGGUUCAAUUCUAUGGAGAUACCUAUUAUUUAAGUUCCACUGUGUUUGUAAGAAAUAGCUCAUCCCACCCCUGGGGUAGUUUGUUAUGUAUGUUGUAUUCUACUUAUUUUUCUGAUAUUUAACGAGGUACCAAGAUACUGCUAGAGGUAGAGGGAUGCCAC
Camellia sinensis is the source of this 2335-nucleotide non-coding RNA. The record is from RefSeq and is a predicted model, not a curated record. NCBI's taxonomy places the organism in Eukaryota, Viridiplantae, Streptophyta, Magnoliopsida, Ericales, Theaceae.